RNAcentral lists this ribosomal RNA (253 nucleotides) under uncultured bacterium. RNAcentral describes it as "partial 16S ribosomal RNA". It matches the Rfam family "Bacterial small subunit ribosomal RNA", at positions 524 to 776 of the family's 1533-position model. The record is from RNAcentral.
UACAGAGGUCCCAAGCGUUGUUCGGAUUCACUGGGCGUAAAGGGUGCGUAGGUGGCCAGGUAAGUUCGGUGUGAAAGCUCGGAGCUUAACUCCGAAAUGGCAUUGAAUACUAUCUGGCUAGAGGGUCGGAGGGGAGACUGGAAUUCUCGGUGUAGCAGUGAAAUGCGUAGAUAUCGAGAGGAACACCAGUGGCGAAGGCGACUACCUGGCCUGUUCUUGACGCUGAGGCGCGAAAGCUAGGGGAGCAAACGGG